This 921-nucleotide ribosomal RNA is filed under the name Actinomadura sp. A01038. RNAcentral describes it as "bacterial SSU rRNA". It matches the Rfam family "Bacterial small subunit ribosomal RNA", at positions 57 to 992 of the family's 1533-position model. The record is from RNAcentral. Lineage: Bacteria; Bacillati; Actinomycetota; Actinomycetes; Streptosporangiales; Thermomonosporaceae.
GCAAGUCGAGCGGAAAGGCCCCUUCGGGGGUACUCGAGCGGCGAACGGGUGAGUAACACGUGAGCAACCUGCCCCUGACUCUGGGAUAAGCCCGGGAAACUGGGUCUAAUACCGGAUAUGACCACUCCAGGCAUCUGGUGGUGGUGGAAAGUUUUUCGGUUGGGGAUGGGCUCGCGGCCUAUCAGCUUGUUGGUGGGGUGAUGGCCUACCAAGGCGACGACGGGUAACCGGCCUGAGAGGGCGACCGGUCACACUGGGACUGAGACACGGCCCAGACUCCUACGGGAGGCAGCAGUGGGGAAUAUUGCGCAAUGGGCGGAAGCCUGACGCAGCGACGCCGCGUGGGGGAUGACGGCCUUCGGGUUGUAAACCCCUUUCAGCAGGGACGAAGCUAACGUGACGGUACCUGCAGAAGAAGCGCCGGCUAACUACGUGCCAGCAGCCGCGGUAAUACGUAGGGCGCAAGCGUUGUCCGGAAUUAUUGGGCGUAAAGAGCUCGUAGGCGGUUUGUCGCGUCUGUCGUGAAAGCCCACGGCUUAACCGUGGGUCUGCGGUGGAUACGGGCAGACUAGAGGCAGGUAGGGGAGAAUGGAAUUCCCGGUGUAGCGGUGAAAUGCGCAGAUAUCGGGAGGAACACCGGUGGCGAAGGCGGUUCUCUGGGCCUGUACUGACGCUGAGGAGCGAAAGCGUGGGGAGCGAACAGGAUUAGAUACCCUGGUAGUCCACGCCGUAAACGUUGGGCGCUAGGUGUGGGGUUCUUCCACGGAUUCCGCGCCGUAGCUAACGCAUUAAGCGCCCCGCCUGGGGAGUACGGCCGCAAGGCUAAAACUCAAAGGAAUUGACGGGGGCCCGCACAAGCGGCGGAGCAUGUUGCUUAAUUCGACGCAACGCGAAGAACCUUACCAAGGCUUGACAUCGCCC